RNAcentral lists this ribosomal RNA (492 nucleotides) under uncultured bacterium. Its description in RNAcentral is "partial 16S ribosomal RNA". It matches the Rfam family "Bacterial small subunit ribosomal RNA", at positions 29 to 507 of the family's 1533-position model. The record is from RNAcentral.
AGUGAACGCUGGCGGUAGGCCUAACACAUGCAAGUCGAACGGCAGCACAGUAAGAGCUUGCUCUUACGGGUGGCGAGUGGCGGACGGGUGAGGAAUACAUCGGAAUCUACUUUUUCGUGGGGGAUAACGUAGGGAAACUUACGCUAAUACCGCAUACGACCUACGGGUGAAAGCAGGGGAUCUUCGGACCUUGCGCGAUUGAAUGAGACGAUGUCGGAUUAGCUAGUUGGCGGGGUAAAGGCCCACCAAGGCGACGAUCCGUAGCUGGUCUGAGAGGAGGGAUAGCCAGACGGGAAGUGAGACAGAGUCCAGACUCCUACGGGAGGCAGCAGUGGGGAAUAUUGGACGAUGGGGGCAAGCCUGAUCCAGCCAUACCGCGUGGGUGAAGAAGGCGUUCGGGUGGGAAAGCCCUUUUGGUGGGAAAGAAAAGCAGCAGGUUAAUACCCCGCUGUUCUGACGGUACCCAAAGAAUAAGCACCGGCUAACUUCGUG